CCUACGGGCGGCAGCAGUGAGGAAUAUUGGUCAAUGGACGAGAGUCUGAACCAGCCAAGUAGCGUGAAGGAUGACUGCCCUAUGGGUUGUAAACUUCUUUUAUAUGGGAAUAAAAUGUUCCACGUGUGGGAUUUUGUAUGUACCAUAUGAAUAAGGAUCAGCUAACUCCGUGCCAGCAGCCGCGGUAAUACGGAGGAUCCGAGCGUUAUCCGGAUUUAUUGGGUUUAAAGGGAGCGUAGGUGGAUUGUUAAGUCAGUUGUGAAAGUUUGCGGCUCAACCGUAAAAUUGCAGUUGAAACUGGCAGUCUUGAGUACAGUAGAGGUGGGCGGAAUUCGUGGUGUAGCGGUGAAAUGCUUAGAUAUCACGAAGAACUCCGAUUGCGAAGGCAGUUCACUGGACUGCAACUGACACUGAGGCUCGAAAGUGUGGGUAUCAAACAGGAUUAGAUACCCUAGUAGUC
RNAcentral lists this ribosomal RNA (460 nucleotides) under uncultured bacterium. RNAcentral describes it as "partial 16S ribosomal RNA". It matches the Rfam family "Bacterial small subunit ribosomal RNA", at positions 338 to 795 of the family's 1533-position model. The record is from RNAcentral.